RNAcentral lists this transfer RNA (70 nucleotides) under Ipomoea nil (Japanese morning glory). It matches the Rfam family "tRNA". From Rfam's summary of the family: Transfer RNA (tRNA) molecules are approximately 80 nucleotides in length. Their secondary structure includes four short double-helical elements and three loops (D, anti-codon, and T loops). Lineage: Eukaryota; Viridiplantae; Streptophyta; Magnoliopsida; Solanales; Convolvulaceae. The record is from Rfam by way of RNAcentral.
GUCGUUGUAGUAUAGUGGUGAGUAUCCCCGCUGUCACGCGGGAGACCCGGGUUCGAUCCCCGGCAACGCG